AGCGAACGCUGGCGGCAGGCCUAAUACAUGCAAGUCGAACGCACCUUCGGGUGAGUGGCGGACGGGUGAGUAACGCGUGGGAACGUGCCCUUUGGUACGGAACAACUGAGGGAAACUUCAGCUAAAACCGUAUGUGCCCUUCGGGGGAAAGGAUUUAUCGCCAUUGGAGCGGCCCGCGUUGGAUUAGGUAGUUGGUGAGGUAAAGGCUCACCAAGCCUACGAUCCAUAGCUGGUCUGAGAGGAUGAUCAGCCACACUGGGACUGAGACACGGCCCAGACUCCUACGGGAGGCAGCAGUAGGGAAUCUUGCGCAAUGGGCGAAAGCCUGACGCAGCCAUGCCGCGUGAAUGAUGAAGGUCUUAGGAUUGUAAAUUCUUUCACCGGGAAGAUAAUGACGGUACCCGGAGAAGAAGCCCCGGCUAACUUCGUGCCAGCAG
RNAcentral lists this ribosomal RNA (437 nucleotides) under uncultured bacterium. RNAcentral's name for it is "bacterial SSU rRNA". It matches the Rfam family "Bacterial small subunit ribosomal RNA", at positions 29 to 514 of the family's 1533-position model. The record is from RNAcentral.